Molecule: microRNA precursor, 107 nt
Filed under: Microtus ochrogaster (prairie vole)
Lineage: Eukaryota; Metazoa; Chordata; Mammalia; Rodentia; Cricetidae
Description: miRNA (ENSMOCG00000008882.1)
Source: RNAcentral
GAGAUGCCUCCAUGAGAUCCAGCUGUAAGGCAUCUUCCUCAGUUAGUGAUCAACGAGAGAGGGGCCAGUCCAUGGUGGGUGGUACAAUCUCUGGGCUGGUGGUCCUG